Molecule: RNA transcript, 1449 nt
Organism: Jatropha curcas
Lineage: Eukaryota; Viridiplantae; Streptophyta; Magnoliopsida; Malpighiales; Euphorbiaceae
Gene name: Plastid-lipid associated protein PAP / fibrillin family protein
Source: RefSeq, a predicted model, not a curated record
AAGAAAAAAACACUAAAAAGAAAAGCUAUUGGCUGACAAGUGUCAGCCGCCAUUUUAUUAUCCCGUUCCUUUUCCCAUUCCCAUGCCAAUGCCCAUGGCCUCUGCGUCCUCUCCCUUAUCAGUUCCCUUGAAACCACAGAACUCUCCAAAAUACAUCUGCUUUAAGACACUUAAAAUUAGCUGUUCGUCAGCCACGACCCAAUCUCAAUCAGCUAAGCGACAUCUUCUCACCCUUAUCUCCGAUCAAGACCGAGGCCUUAAAACCCAGAAAGACCCUGAAAAGCGAGCCACAAUUAUCCAAGCCAUCGACGCCAUUGCUGAAACGGGCAAAGGUACGGUCACUACUGGUAAUUCACUAUCCGCCACCUGGCGGUUGCUCUGGACCACGGAGAAAGAGCAGCUCUUUAUUAUAGAGAAGGCGCCGUUGUUUGGUACCCAAGCUGGUGACGUUUUGCAGGUGAUAGAUGUUGAGAAAAAGACUCUAAAUAACGUGAUCACUUUCCCACCUGAUGGGGUUUUCUUUGUCCGGUCAAAUAUUGAGAUUGCUUCGUCUCAGAGAGUGAAUUUUAGAUUUACGAGUGCGGUUCUUAGAGGGAAAAAUUGGGAAAUUCCUUUGCCGCCAUUUGGACAGGGUUGGUUCGAGUCUGUAUAGCUUGAUGUCGAUAUUCUGAGUAGUGAUGGAUAUUAGAGGAGAUUAUUUAAUUGUGGACCGUGCGCCAUAUGCGUGGAAAGAAUGAAUGUGCUUCACUGCACUGUCAUCAUGAUUGGAAGGCUUUGUGAGUUCACUUGUAAUAAAUCCGAUUAAUAAACUCAAACUGGACUAUGGGGAUACUUUUUUUAGUUCCUGGAUGACAAUCUAGCCCAAACCCAACUGCAUCAGUUUGAUUACGUAUUCAUUUCAACAACUCGGCGCCAACCCUGUUUCAUAAUAUGUGGCUUUGUGAAGUCUUGUGGAAUAUGACACCCUUUUGUUUACUGGUUCUAUAAUUUUGGUGCUGUAUGUUGGUCAAUCAAGGAGUAGAUAUAUGUUAGUAACUAAGCUGUGCAUGACUUUGUACUUUUUCCUCUACUGCUCUCUGACUCGAAGCGACCAAAAGCUUGCCCAUCUCACCGUCAAACCUGUACAGAUGGAAAAAAAGAUGUUUCCAUGUUCCAAUCUGUUUACCUAGAUGGUGAUUUGAGAGUUGCCAAGGAUAUCCGUGGAGAUUAUUUAGUUGUUGCACAUUCUUCUGAUAAUUGGUCAGAGUAAUUUUUUUCCCUUCUUUUCCAUUGUUAUAAUCCUUUCUGGCGAUUUCUUGUUCAUAUAUUUGCAGCAAAUAUUCAACUUAUGUAUAUAUAUAUCACCCUCCUCCAUUCACUUAAUUUGUGACUUUUUCUCACAUGGUUAAUGUAAAUCCUAAGCCCGACAACUUUGGGAAUUUUAUAUCAUGAAGAUGAUAAAAUUGAGAA